GUGCAGGGGCUGGAAGGGACCUUCGGGUCAAUGGUCAGGCCUCCUGUCGGUUCCCAAAUCCCCUGCCACCCGGCGCCUUUACCAUCUCUAGAGACGGGCAGCGAGCUACGUGUAGAAACAGCGGGGGUCACCGUCACCUGUUAGGAAGGCCUCCCUUCACUGGGCUCGAAGCGGCGGGUCUGUGCCUGUACCCUCUGUUCGCCUUCUCUGAGCCUCCCCCUGGCCCUGGAUCAUAUGGAAGCAAAUCCUGGCCACCCUCUGCCCCUCGGGAGGGGUGCUGCUCCGAGUGGCGGCAGUGCCUUUCCGGCCGUGUGGCUGGCACAGAGAGACAUGGUCUCGAUCCUCCACGGCCAUGACCGUCCAGAGGCAGCUUAUGCUCGGCGGGUGGCCCUGCUGCUGGCACCUCAUCCCGUCACCCUGUCACACCACACCCCUCCUCUACUGCUCUGGCCCCAGGGAAAGCCCUCCAGUUGCCAGCCAGUCAAGACCUUUCAGUAUCGGCUAGCGUGA
This 510-nucleotide long non-coding RNA is filed under the name Ursus maritimus (polar bear). Its description in RNAcentral is "lncRNA (ENSUMAG00000010793.1)". Lineage: Eukaryota; Metazoa; Chordata; Mammalia; Carnivora; Ursidae. The record is from RNAcentral.